This 151-nucleotide small RNA is filed under the name Staphylococcus aureus. RNAcentral's name for it is "5'UTR". Lineage: Bacteria; Bacillati; Bacillota; Bacilli; Caryophanales; Staphylococcaceae. The record is from RNAcentral.
AACCUUUCCCGAGGCAUUUCUUAAUUAAACAUUGCAAUCAAUCCAUUUCAUCGACAUGAAUUUUCGCAACAUUUUUCGGGCAAGCUUCGUCGUCUAAAUAUAUCUCAACAUUCGGGUGUUUGUGAAGUAAUGUGGCUGGAACAUCAACAGA